GAUGGUAUAGCUCAGUGGUACAGCGCAUGCUUAGUAUGCAUGAGGUCAUGGGUUCGAUCCCUAGUACCUCUG
Molecule: transfer RNA, 72 nt
Filed under: Camelus bactrianus (Bactrian camel)
Lineage: Eukaryota; Metazoa; Chordata; Mammalia; Artiodactyla; Camelidae
Also listed under: 2 other names
Rfam family: tRNA
About the family: Transfer RNA (tRNA) molecules are approximately 80 nucleotides in length. Their secondary structure includes four short double-helical elements and three loops (D, anti-codon, and T loops).
Source: Rfam by way of RNAcentral